This 503-nucleotide long non-coding RNA is filed under the name Homo sapiens (human). Its description in RNAcentral is "non-protein coding lnc-DNAJC30-1:2". The record is from RNAcentral. Lineage: Eukaryota; Metazoa; Chordata; Mammalia; Primates; Hominidae.
AGUUAGGGGCCCGAGGCGGGUGGCCCGAGGCAGCUGCUGAGUUUGGGGCUGGAGGGGCGGGGGCCUGAGGCGGCUGCUGUGUUAAGGGCCGGGGGGGCGGGGCCUGAGGCUGCCGCUGAGCUCGGGGCUGGGGGGAGCCCGGGCCUGGGACGGAGGGGGCGGGGCCCAAUGCUGCUGCUGAACUCCCCGAAGAGGGCUGGGCUCAGUGUGACCCCACUCGCUUGCAGCCGGCAGGACCACGACCAGUGAGGAGCUGGAGGACAUGCUGGAGAGUGGGAACCCCGCCAUCUUUGCCUCUGGGAUCAUCAUGGACUCCAGCAUCUCGAAGCAGGCUCUGAGCGAGAUUGAGACGCGGCACAGUGAGAUCAUCAAGCUGGAGAACAGCAUCCGUGAGCUACACGACAUGUUCAUGGACAUGGCCAUGCUCGUGGAGAGCCAGGGAGAGAUGAUUGACAGGAUCGAGUACAAUGUGGAACACGCGGUAGACUAUGUGGAGAGGGCCG